UUUUGAACAAUAAGAGAUGAGGUGUAAAGGUUUCUUGGUUUGACAAGCGUUCAGCUUAAUUAUUAUUGAGUGAGUACUCAAAGAAGGUGGAAAGCCUGUAUAACUGAAUAGCUUUGUUUGAACCGAGAUACUGAAGAGUCUAGUUGUUUGGGAGUACAACUUAAAGUUGGUGGUAAAUUUCAUCAAAGGCUAAAUAUAAGAAGGGACUAAUAGCGAACAAGUACCAUGAGGGAAAGUUGAAAAGAACUCUGACGAGAGAGUUAAAAAGUACGUGAAACCAUAUUGAGUAAAACAGAUAACUGUGUUGUUAUGCGGUGUGCCUAUCAACAGCAAACCUGUCAAUGCGAUUUCAUUCCUAUACGCUGAUCAUGCAGCUACGUAGGUUUGGUUAGCACAGUCAGAUGUUCUGUGUAUUAGUGCGCAUCCUAUCAUUGAGAAACUAUGCCUUCAUAGCUUCGGUACACACCAGUUCGUACUAUGUAUGUAGUUGUGUGCUGGGUCUAAUUGAAGGUGUCGUUUAGCUGUUCUGCAGCUGAGGCCACGUUUACUGGAUGAAGCUACUUUAUCUGCAAUUCGGUUUAUUCCAUUUUGCGGUGAGUACGCUCUAGUAGGUAAGUCGGUCGUCAUCAAUGAUAAACAUUAGUUAUUUGACCCGUCUUGAAACACGGACCAAGGAGUUCAAAUGGCACGCAAGUCAUUGGGUUUGAAACCCGAAGGCGAAGUGAAAUGCAAAUUUAUUGUUAUUUGUGGUUGUUCCAUGAUUAAGCGAUAAGCUACCUGUGCUUUCUGGCACUUGUAGACUACAAGCGUGAUGUUUGAGACCCGAAAGAUGGUGACCUAUGCCUAGUCAAGAUGAAGCCAGAGGAAACUCUGGUGGAUGUCUGAAGUUAUUCUGACGUGCAAAUCGAUAAUCUGAUCUGGGUAUAGGGGCGAAAGACUAAUCGAACCAUCUAGUAGCUGGUUCCUUCCGAAGUUUCCCUCAGGAUAGCAAGCAUACAAUUUUAGUUUCAUCCCGUAAAGCGAAUGAUUAGAGGUAUUGGGGCAUAUAUAGCCUCAACCUAUUCUCAAACUUUUAAUGGGUGUGAGCGAUCUUUCUUAAUUGAAGAGCGCUGCUAAAUAAGUGUGCUUAGUGGGCCAUUUUUGGUAAGCAGAACUGGCGCUGUGGGUUGAACCAAUUGUUGAGUUAAAGUGCCUAAAGCUGGAAUGCGCAUGAGAUCUAUAAAGGGUGUUAGUUGCUGAAGACAGCAGG
RNAcentral lists this ribosomal RNA (1249 nucleotides) under Macrocheles sp. 2 APGD-2010. RNAcentral describes it as "eukaryotic LSU rRNA". It matches the Rfam family "Eukaryotic large subunit ribosomal RNA", at positions 127 to 1244 of the family's 3401-position model. The record is from RNAcentral. Lineage: Eukaryota; Metazoa; Arthropoda; Arachnida; Mesostigmata; Macrochelidae.